AUGCGCGGCCCGCGCGCGCACCUCAACUUCCCGAUCGAGAAAGUGCAGCGCCGCCUCGACCUGGAGCACGACAACGGUCAGUUCCUGGACGCCGCCGGCGCUGGCGAGGAUUCCACGGGCCGCGCGCGCCGAAAGAGGAGAAGGAGGAGCAGUGCCACCGCCGCCGAUCAUGCAAGAACCGUCGACGCCGAUUUCACGGCGGUGUACGGAAAUGGAUGCUCCGAUCAGAUGGUGUCAUUCGCCAGCUCGAGGAGGGAUAACGGGACGCCAACGGUGCAAGAUCGGCUCGUCAUGAGCGCUGACGUCGGAGGAGCUGUGAAUCGAGUGAUCGAGUUGGAGGAUAUUGGUGGCGAGUAUUGGGACUACUUGUUCCCGCGUCUGCUAUGA
Molecule: ribosomal RNA, 387 nt
Filed under: Triticum aestivum (bread wheat)
Lineage: Eukaryota; Viridiplantae; Streptophyta; Magnoliopsida; Poales; Poaceae
Description: partial small subunit ribosomal RNA
Source: RNAcentral